AUUGGUGCUUGCAUCAUGAUUUACAUUUGAGUGAGUGGCGAACUGGUGAGUAACACGUGGGAAACCUGCCCAGAAGCGGGGGAUAACACCUGGAAACAGAUGCUAAUACCGCAUAACAACUUGGACCGCAUGGUCCGAGUUUGAAAGAUGGCUUCGGCUAUCACUUUUGGAUGGUCCCGCGGCGUAUUAGCUAGAUGGUGAGGUAACGGCUCACCAUGGCAAUGAUACGUAGCCGACCUGAGAGGGUAAUCGGCCACAUUGGGACUGAGACACGGCCCAAACUCCUACGGGAGGCAGCAGUAGGGAAUCUUCCACAAUGGACGAAAGUCUGAUGGAGCAACGCCGCGUGAGUGAAGAAGGGUUUCGGCUCGUAAAACUCUGUUGUUAAAGAAGAACAUAUCUGAGAGUAACUGUUCAGGUAUUGACGGUAUUUAACCAGAAAGCCACGGCUAACUACGUGCCAGCAGCCGCGGUAAUACGUAGGUGGCAAGCGUUGUCCGGAUUUAUUGGGCGUAAAGCGAGCGCAGGCGGUUUUUUAAGUCUGAUGUGAAAGCCUUCGGCUCAACCGAAGAAGUGCAUCGGAAACUGGGAAACUUGAGUGCAGAAGAGGACAGUGGAACUCCAUGUGUAGCGGUGAAAUGCGUAGAUAUAUGGAAGAACACCAGUGGCGAAGGCGGCUGUCUGGUCUGUAACUGACGCUGAGGCUCGAAAGUAUGGGUAGCAAACAGGAUUAGAUACCCUGGUAGUCCAUACCGUAAACGAUGAAUGCUAAGUGUUGGGAGGGUUUCCGCCCCUUCAGUGCUGCAGCUAACGCAUUAAGCAUUCCCGCCUGGGGGAGUACCGCCGCCAGGGCUGAAACUCAAAAGGAAUUUGACGGGGGGCCCCCCACAAGCGGGAGAA
This 900-nucleotide ribosomal RNA is filed under the name Lactiplantibacillus plantarum. RNAcentral's name for it is "bacterial SSU rRNA". It matches the Rfam family "Bacterial small subunit ribosomal RNA", at positions 69 to 937 of the family's 1533-position model. The record is from RNAcentral. Lineage: Bacteria; Bacillati; Bacillota; Bacilli; Lactobacillales; Lactobacillaceae.